CUGCACUGUUCGAAGUCUGUAAGAUCAGUGCUGAAUUCAAAAUAAUCACCACAGUUCCCCUGCAAUCCAAGCAACUGUUGCUGAAUUGGCUGAUUUGUACAAGAUGCACCAUUUCUGAGGACUUCUGGCACAGUGGCCUGCACUGUUCAAAGUUCGCAAGGUAAGACAUUCAAUUCGGAUUGUCUUUAAUGUUUUUAUUUGUGAAUUACAGCGUUUUAUCUCCUUUCUUGAAUGUGUGUGUGGCUUUCUCCUAAUGUUAAUGAUUUGAUCGUUAAAUCCUUUGGGCUCUUUAUGUCUUUUCAGAUCAGUGCUGAAUUGAAAAGAAUCACCAGUCCCACUGCAAUGGCCAGCACUGUUCGAAGUCCACAAGGUAAAGCAUUCACUUUGGCCACAACCCUACCCAGUGCACCUUAACAACUUGACUCCUGCUUUAAAUUAGCU
This is a long non-coding RNA of Engraulis encrasicolus (European anchovy), 441 nucleotides long. RefSeq lists it as uncharacterized. The transcript has 3 exons. The record is from RefSeq and is a predicted model, not a curated record. Lineage: Eukaryota; Metazoa; Chordata; Actinopteri; Clupeiformes; Engraulidae.